AGAGUUUGAUCCUGGCUCAGAAUGAACGCUGGCGGCGUGCCUAACACAUGCAAGUCGAACGAGAAACUCCGAGCUUGCUCGGAGGAGUAAAGUGGCGCACGGGUGAGUAACACGUGGGUAACCUGCCCCCGAAUCUGGGAUAACUUCGCGAAAGCGUUGCUAAUACCGGAUAUUGUCCUAUUGGUUGUGACCUUUGGGAUGAAAGGCAACCUCUUCAUGAAAGUUGUCGUUCAGGGAUGGGCCCGCGUACCAUUAGCUUGUUGGUGGGGUAACGGCUCACCAAGGCUACGAUGGUUAGCUGGUCUGAGAGGAUGAUCAGCCACACUGGAACUGAAACACGGUCCAGACUCCUACGGGAGGCAGCAGUGAGGAAUUUUGCGCAAUGGGGGAAACCCUGACGCAGCAACGCCGCGUGAGUGAAGAAGGCUUUCGGGUCGUAAAGCUCUGUCAAGUGGGAAAAAAGUCUGAUGAUUAAUAGUUGUCAGAUUUGAUGGUACCACUGGAGGAAGCACCGGCUAACUCCGUGCCAGCAGCCGCGGUAAUACGGAGGUAGCUAGCGUUACUCGGAUUCAUUGGGUGUAAAGGGCAGGCAGGUGUCCUGACAAGUGAGAGGUGAAAUCCUUCGACUUAAUCGAAGAACUGCCUUUCAAACUGUUAGGAUUGAGUAUGAGAGAGGAAAGCGGAACUCUCGGUGUAAGGGUGAAUCUGUAGAGAUCGAGAGGAACACCAGUUGCGAAGGCGGCUUUCUGGAUCAUUACUGACACUGAGCUGCGAAAGCUAGGGGAGCAAACAGGAUUAGAUACCCUGGGUAGUCCUAGCCGUAAACGAUGAGUACUUGGUGUCCUGCGCAAGCGGGGUGCCGGAGUUAACACAUUAAGUACUCCACCUGGGGACUACGGCCGCAAGGCUAAAACUCAAAGGAAUUGACGGGGGCCCGCACAAGCGGUGGAACAUGUGGUUCAAUUCGAUGCAACGCGAAAAACCUUACCUGGGUUUGACAUCCUUUGACAGUCCCUGAAAGGGGAUCUUACCGAUUCUUCGGAACAAAGUGACAGGUGCUGCAUGGCUGUCGUCAGCUCGUGUCGUGAGAUGUUGGGUUAAGUCCCGCAACGAGCGUAACCCUUGUCUUUAGUUGCCAGUAUUUAGUUAGGCACUCUAAAGAGACUGCCUCGGUUAACGGGGAGGAAGGUGGGGAUGACGUCAAGUCCUCAUGGCCUUUAUACCCAGGGCUACACACGUGCUACAAUGGGCUGUACAAAGGGUAGCUAAUUCGCGAGGAAGCGCUAAUCCCAAAAAGCAGCUCUCAGUUCGGAUUGGAGUCUGCAACUCGACUCCAUGAAGGUGGAAUCGCUAGUAAUCGUGGAUCAGCACGCCACGGUGAAUACGUUCCCGGGCCUUGUACACACCGCCCGUCACACCACGAAAGUCGACUGUACCAGAAGUUGCUGGGCUAACUCCGUUUACGGGGAGGCAGGUACCUAAGGUACGGCCGGUAAUUGGGGUGAAGUCGUAACAAGGUAACC
Molecule: ribosomal RNA, 1523 nt
Filed under: uncultured bacterium
Lineage: Bacteria
Description: bacterial SSU rRNA
Rfam family: Bacterial small subunit ribosomal RNA
Source: RNAcentral